RNAcentral lists this unclassified non-coding RNA (217 nucleotides) under uncultured fungus. RNAcentral's name for it is "sequence contains ITS1". Lineage: Eukaryota; Fungi. The record is from RNAcentral.
UUGAUUUAUUGUUUAAAUCACUCAGACUAUAAAGAUAAAAGAGUUUGGUUUGGUCCACCGGGGUGCCACCCGCCCGAAGGCAGGGUCUCCCCCGAGGCAACGCGGUCGGACAACAUGGGGUGGAUUAUCUCGCCAGACGCCGCGGGCUUUUUUAGGGCACGCGGCGGCCGACAGAUGAAACCUAUUAAUGAUCCCUCCGCAGGUUCACCUACGGAGA